UUCCAGACUCCUACGGGAGGCAGCAGUGGGGAAUAUUGCACAAUGGGGGAAACCCUGAUGCAGCGACGCCGCGUGAGUGAAGAAGUAUUUCGGUAUGUAAAGCUCUAUCAGCAGGGAAGAUAAUGACGGUACCUGACUAAGAAGCCCCGGCUAACUACGUGCCAGCAGCCGCGGUAAUACGUAGGGGGCAAGCGUUAUCCGGAUUUACUGGGUGUAGAGGGUGCGUAGGUGGCAUGGCAAGUCAGAAGUGAAAGCCCGGGGCUCAACCCCGCGGACUGCUUUUGAAACUGUCAGGCUGGAGUACAGGAGAGGUAAGCGGAAUUCCUAGUGUAGCGGUGAAAUGCGUAGAUAUUAGGAGGAACACCAGUGGCGAAGGCGGCUUACUGGACUGUAACUGACACUGAGGCACGAAAGCGUGGGGAGCAAACAGGAUUAGAUACCCCAGUAC
Molecule: ribosomal RNA, 448 nt
Filed under: uncultured bacterium
Lineage: Bacteria
Description: bacterial SSU rRNA
Rfam family: Bacterial small subunit ribosomal RNA
Source: RNAcentral